Molecule: ribosomal RNA, 465 nt
Filed under: uncultured Acidovorax sp.
Lineage: Bacteria; Pseudomonadati; Pseudomonadota; Betaproteobacteria; Burkholderiales; Comamonadaceae
Description: bacterial SSU rRNA
Rfam family: Bacterial small subunit ribosomal RNA
Source: RNAcentral
GACGGGACCGCACAAGCGUGGAUGAUGUGGUUAAUUCGAUGCAACGCGAAAACCUUACCACCUUUGACAUGUACGGAAUCCUUUAGAGAUAGAGGAGUGCUCGAAAGAGAGCCGUAACACAGGUGCUGCAUGGCUGUCGUCAGCUCGUGUCGUGAGAUGUUGGGUUAAGUCCCGCAACGAGCGCAACCCUUGUCAUUAGUUGUUACAUUCAGUUGGGGCACUCUAAUGAGACUGCCGGUGACAAACCGGAGGAAGGUGGGGAUGACGUCAAGUCCUCAUGGCCCUUAUAGGUGGGGCUACACACGUCAUACAAUGGAUGGUACAAAGGGUCGCCAACCCGCGAGGGGGAGCCAAUCCCAUAAAGCCAUUCGUAGUCCGGAUCGCAGUCUGCAACUCGACUGCGUGAAGUCGGAAUCGCUAGUAAUCGUGGAUCAGAAUGUCACGGUGAAUACGUUCCCGGGUCUU